GAGUUUGAUCCUGGCUCAGAUUGAACGCUGGCGGCAUGCCUUACACAUGCAAGUCGAACGGUAACAGCUCUUCGGAGGCUGACGAGUGGCGAACGGGUGAGUAAUACAUCGGAACGUGCCCGAUCGUGGGGGAUAACGGAGCGAAAGCUUUGCUAAUACCGCAUACGAUCUACGGAUGAAAGCAGGGGACCCUCGGGCCUUGCGCGAACGGAGCGGCCGAUGGCAGAUUAGGUAGUUGGUGGGAUAAAAGCUUACCAAGCCGACGAUCUGUAGCUGGUCUGAGAGGACGACCAGCCACACUGGGACUGAGACACGGCCCAGACUCCUACGGGAGGCAGCAGUGGGGAAUUUUGGACAAUGGGCGAAAGCCUGAUCCAGCAAUGCCGCGUGCAGGAUGAAGGCCUUCGGGUUGUAAACUGCUUUUGUACGGAACGAAAAGUCUCGGGAUAAUACCCUGGGACCAUGACGGUACCGUAAGAAUAAGCACCGGCUAACUACGUG
Molecule: ribosomal RNA, 501 nt
Filed under: uncultured Acidovorax sp.
Lineage: Bacteria; Pseudomonadati; Pseudomonadota; Betaproteobacteria; Burkholderiales; Comamonadaceae
Description: bacterial SSU rRNA
Rfam family: Bacterial small subunit ribosomal RNA
Source: RNAcentral